AUCAUGAGUUCACAUGUCCGCAUGAUUAAAGGUAUUCUCCGGUAGACGAUGGGGAUGCGUUCCAUUAGAUAGUAGGCGGGGUAACGGCCCACCUAGUCAACGAUGGAUAGGGGUUCUGAGAGGAAGGUCCCCCACAUUGGAACUGAGACACGGUCCAAACUCCUACGGGAGGCAGCAGUGAGGAAUAUUGGUCAAUGGGCGAUGGCCUGAACCAGCCAAGUAGCGUGAAGGAUGACUGCCCUAUGGGUUGUAAACUUCUUUUAUAAAGGAAUAAAGUCGGGUAUGCAUACCCGUUUGCAUGUACUUUAUGAAUAAGGAUCGGCUGACUCCGUGCCAGCAGCCGCGGUAAUACGGAGGAUCCGAGCGUUAUCCGGAUUUAUUGGGUUUAAAGGGAGCGUAGAUGGAUGUUUAAGUCAGUUGUGAAAGUUUGCGGCUCAACCGUAAAAUUGCAGUUGAUACUGGAUGUCUUGAGUGCAGUUGAGGCAGGCGGAAUUCGUGGUGUAGCGGUGAAAUGCUUAGAUAUCACGAAGAACUCCGAUUG
RNAcentral lists this ribosomal RNA (541 nucleotides) under uncultured Bacteroidota bacterium. RNAcentral describes it as "bacterial SSU rRNA". It matches the Rfam family "Bacterial small subunit ribosomal RNA", at positions 173 to 715 of the family's 1533-position model. Lineage: Bacteria; Pseudomonadati; Bacteroidota. The record is from RNAcentral.